RNAcentral lists this ribosomal RNA (497 nucleotides) under uncultured bacterium. RNAcentral's name for it is "partial 16S ribosomal RNA". It matches the Rfam family "Bacterial small subunit ribosomal RNA", at positions 28 to 507 of the family's 1533-position model. The record is from RNAcentral.
GACGAACGCUGGCGGCGUGCCUAAUACAUGCAAGUUGAGCGCUGAAGGUUGGUACUUGUACGAACUGGAUGAGCAGCGGACGGGUGAGUAACGCGUGGGGGAUCGGCAGUUGAGCGGAGGACCACAAUAGGAAACGAAUGCUAAUACCGCAUAAGAACUUUAAACACAAGGUUUAAGGUUGAAAGAGGCAAUUGAAUAACUCAAAGAGGAUCACGCGUUGUAUUAGCUAGAUUGUGAGGUAAAGGAUCACCAAGGAGAUGAUACAUAGCCGACCUGAGAGGGUGAUCCACUACAUCGGGAACUGGACACGGGCCCAACUCCCACGGGGAGCAGCAGUAGGGGAACUUCGGCCAUGGGCGGAAGUCUGAAUGCGCCACUCCGCGUUGUUUGAGGAGGGUUUCCGAUCGUUAAACUCUGUUGGUAGGGGAGAACGUUGGGGAGGGUGGAAAGCUCCUCAAUUGACGUUAACUACACAGAAAGCAACGGCUAACUUCGUG